UACGAAGGGGGCGAGCGUUGUUCGGAAUCACUGGGCGUAAAGGGCGCGCAGGCGGCUUAUUUUGUCAGGCGUGAAAGCCCCGGGCUUAACCUGGGAACUGCGUUUGAUACGGAUGGGCUAGAGUUCGGGAGAGGAGAGUGGAAUUCCCAGUGUAGAGGUGAAAUUCGUAGAUAUUGGGAAGAACACCGGUGGCGAAGGCGGCUCUCUGGACCGAUACUGACGCUGAGCGCGAAAGCGUGGGGAGCAA
Molecule: ribosomal RNA, 247 nt
Filed under: uncultured bacterium
Lineage: Bacteria
Description: partial 16S ribosomal RNA
Rfam family: Bacterial small subunit ribosomal RNA
Source: RNAcentral